AGGAGAAACCCCCAACACGGGCGGCAACCUUGAUCCCCUCCUUCCUCCCAGUCCCCACCGCCGCCACGAACUCUGCUCCGACACGAACUCUGCUCAAGCCCGCUCCCAUGGUUCCCGUCAUCGACAUGGCCUCUUUGCCCGUUCCGCAAGCCGAAGGCACCACCUACAGAAAGGACUCGAGUCCCACGAUCGAAAUCCCAGAUCAGACCGGAUCGCGGCGGCCGGCGGCGCCACGAUAGUUCGCCGACCUGCAGUCCUCCUCACGGGACAAGCUGCGUUCGCGGUGCGCACUCGCUGCCCGCCGGCUUCGACGGUGUGGGCCGGGGCGCCGCCCUUCCGCAGAUCCGCAAUCGAGUCAUGCGUCCGGUCUGACGCCUCCCAUCGACGUCCACGGCUCUGUGCUCUUCCAUGUUCUCUCCUAGCGCAGGCUGUGGGGGCGCUACGCCGCUAUCUGCCGGCUCCUCAUACAAGAGCUAUGGACCAACUGAGCCCUGUGGGAAACAAUUGCAUCAACUCAGCGACGUCCAGCGUUUCUCCUCUCUACGUUUCUUUGCACGCCUCAUCUCCAAGCACGAAUUCACGACGUGAUGGUCUGGUCUUGGUACUAUGUUGAUAGCGAGGGUGCAAGGCUCAAGGGAAGCAGCCGGUUCUGUAGUUCUUUGUAUGCUUAUAGUAUCUUGGAUGAGGGUUGAGGAAGCUGCUGAGUUAGCAUGGCGGGCUUUUAUCACGCAAUAUUCCGUGACAGAGCUAGUAGUGGCUGUGUUCCUGGUGGUAUGCAUUCUGUUUCUUAGUUUCUAUCCUGAUAUUUGUUUUGUUCACUCAAUAAGCACGAUACAACUUGCAUGCAGAUUUGUUAAACACCUUGCCAUUUAUAUCUUUCUUUUGAAAUCACAUACAUAACUGUUUAUUUGAGUUACUUAUUGGUGAAGUUGAGAUAUUUUCCCCCCAUCGUGUAAUACACACCCCUAGGUUGGGAAUAGAGAUUACCGUCGAAACGAUGGUGAUAAAUUAACCCACACCAAACGUACAUUGUUGUAGAGUAUAGAAGGUGCUGUAGAGUAUAGACAUGGGUCUAGACAUCUAGACAAACCUACCGAGGAUUUCUAAAACAAUAUAAUUAUAAUGGUACAUGUAAAUUACAUGCGUAGAUUUAUUCUUUUUGUAUACGGCUUUCAUGUUAGUAGAUUUAAAAAAAUAUGGUGUGCUGUAUAAGGAUUAUGGCCAACGCUAUGUUUUCUUCGUGUUCGCCUUUUCUUUUUCCUUCUUAAUUUUUUGAACCUUUUUCAAGUUUGUGAACAAUUUUCAGUUCACAUUUUUUGAAUUUGCUAAAAUGUUGAAUUACCGUAUAUUUUCCAAAUUCGUGAAUAUUUUUUGAAAAUUUUGAACCUUUUCCAAUGGUUGAAUAGUUUUUGAAUAUGUGAGCGAUUUUGGAAUAUGUGAAUAGUUUUUAGAAUCAGUUAACAAUUUUGAAUUGCCGUGAAUAUUUUUUGAAUUCCUUAACAGUUUUUGAAUUCGUGAACAUUUUUGGAAUUCAUACUUGUCUUGAAUAUGAGAACAUUUUUCGAACACAAUAACAUUUUUGGAAUUUGUGAACACUGUUUUAGAAUCCACAGACAUUUUUUGAAUUCGACGCAAACAUUUAACAAUUUUUUGUAUUCAUGUACAUUAUUUGAAUUCAUGAACUUGUUUUGAAUACGUUAACAUUAUUUAAUAUGUGAUCAUUUUAUGAAUACGUUAACAUUUUUGGAAUUCACAAUUUUUUUAAUCCGUGAACUUUCUUUGAAUACGUGAACAUUACUGGAAUUGGCAACAUUUUUUGAAUUCGCAAACAUAAUUUUUGAAUUUGUGAACAUUUAUUUAAUUCACAAACUCUUUUUUUUUCAAAUUUGCCUUAGAUGUUAGUAGAUUCUAAGGAUAUGGUGUGAUGUAUAAAGAAUUAUGAUCAAUGCUAUGUUUAGUUUUUGGGUCAUUAUUAUUUGGAAGCAGGGUAAAAAAAGAAGACUAUCAUUUGGGCUUGAUAGAGUAUGAUUAUAUCCCACUCGGUCGUGUUUGCAUCAAACACGUGUCCCCCUUUGGAGAAGAAUACGCCAACCAUUUUGGUAGCGGGCCUAUAACUCAUCUCGACAAUUCUGUUUAGGCCUCAUUCCGCUAAUACGCUAGGCAUCAUCUCCUUUCCCGUAUUUCUCUUAGUCUCACUCCAAAACACUUCACGAUCCAACAGAGGGAAUGCCAACAUCCAUGGUGGAAUUGUCCCAUUCGGCUGUUCAUGCCACUUGAGAGGAUGAAGGCUCUAGCAACAUCAUGCGAGAGGCAUCGUCACUAGUGAUUUUGCCACCAUCCUGGCCACGACGACAAUGCCGCAGUACAUAUAGUGGAGGGUAGAGUAGGAAAGUGGAGCGACGGCGCCGCAAGAAGAGGUGCAUUGGAACAGGGGGCACUGUAGUCUGUUUCUUCUUCUGGGCGAGUGUCAGGCAAAUAGACAAGACUCCCAACAAAAUGUCGAUAAAGCGUCAGAUUAGACAAUGGAUGAACAUCAAUAGUAGCAGGAGGUGAACAUUGAGCUCCAUUGGAGUCUCAACAUUGCGCUCAUCUUUAAGAGCAACAUGAGUAAGAAGAUCCUAGAUUAUUAUUUUGGACCAAGAAGGGACCUCAAUCCCAAGAAAGUAGCAGAGAGGGUCAAGAUAAGACAUAAGAAACUGCAUAACAUGCCUUCACAAAGGCAAUAUACUCACGGUCUGCUUCAGUGAUGAUCAUGUCAUCAACAUGAAGAAGAGUCCUACCAAGAGCAGGGCAAGCAACGCCGGAUCUUGAGCACUCGCUAAAAACCAGCAACAUCCAUCAGAGGCAAAACGCUCAAACCAGGCACGAGACGCUUGCUUAAAGCUAUAGAGAGAGCGAUGAAGACGACUAAGCAUGUCCUAAGGAGUAGAAUACCCAGGUGGUGGUUUUAUGUAAACCUCCUCACGCAGCUCACUAUUAAGAAAUACAUUCUUAACAUCGAGCCUAUACACGAACCAGUGGCGAACAGAGGCCACAAGCAUACGGUUUUGCAGGAGCAAAAGUCUCAUCGUAAUCAGGACCAUGCUCCUGCUGAAAGCCAUGACCCACAAGACAAGUUUUUCUAAUGCUCAAAAGAACCAUCAGAGUGAGUCCUAACCUUGUAGACCCACCAAGUGAUGGGACGAACACGAGGAGGAACAUAAAUAGUAUCCCACGUGCUGAUGCACUCAAGAGCAGCAAUUUCACUCAAGAGCAGCAAUCUCCUGUGUCAUAACAAGGUGCCAUUUGGUAUGAACAACAUCACAACAAGAAGUCGGCUCAAGAACAACAGCGCCAAUGCUUGGAAGAUCAAUGCGGUCAACAGGACGAAGCGGACGAGGACGGAAGCCAUAAGUAGGCUGAGACGGGGAAGUUGGCACAUCAGUAGAUGCAUCGACAACACGCAGACGACCUAUAUAGAAGUUAGGAAAAAAAUGGAGAAUAAAAGCUGGAAUCAUCGGGGGAUAAACUUAGGUGAUGGAGACAAGGAAGCCACCGGUGAUGAAGGUGUAGAAUCAUGUGAUAAGCGAGGUGAGGAAAUCAUAGGAGAUGAUGACGUUGGUUCUACAAUAAUCAGAGAAGCAUGAGCAGCACGAUGAUUGGAUAAGGGCUCAAUAGGAGUGGUAGUAGUGUCGAAAAAAAUGUGGGAAGAGAUGUACUCCACUUAAAAGGCCAAAGAAGAUGGACACAGGUAGAAGGGAGGAGACUCUACAAAAGUCAUAUCCUAAGAAAUAGGCAUUCGACGACCAACAUGAUCCCAACAACGAUAUCCCUUGUGCUCAUCGUUGUAUCCUAAGAAGACACACUCAACAGACUGAGAAGUCAGUUUGGUGAAUUCACGAGGUGUAAGAAGGACAUAACAAACACAA
This is a non-coding RNA of Triticum urartu, 3908 nucleotides long. Lineage: Eukaryota; Viridiplantae; Streptophyta; Magnoliopsida; Poales; Poaceae. The record is from RefSeq and is a predicted model, not a curated record.